Molecule: ribosomal RNA, 398 nt
Filed under: uncultured bacterium
Lineage: Bacteria
Description: bacterial SSU rRNA
Rfam family: Bacterial small subunit ribosomal RNA
Source: RNAcentral
GGAAUAUUGGACCAUGGGGGCAACCCUGAUCCAGCCAUGCCGCGUGAGUGAAGAAGGCCCUAGGGUUGUAAAGCUCUUUCAACGGUGAAGAUGAUGACGGUAGCCGUAGAAGAAGCCCCGGCUAACUCCGUUCCAGCAGCCGCGGUAAUACGGAGGGGGCUAGCGUUGUUCGGAAUUACUGGGCGUAAAGGGCGCGUAGGCGGUAUGUCAAGUCAGGGGUGAAAGGCCUGGGCUCAACCCAGGAAUUGCCUUUGAAACUGGCAAACUAGAGUCCGAAAGAGGAUGGCGGAAUUCCCAGUGUAGAGGUGAAAUUCGUAGAUAUUGGGAAGAACACCGGUGGCGAAGGCGGCCAUCUGGAUCGGCACUGACGCUGAGGCGCGAAAGCGUGGGGAGCAAAC